UACAGAGGGGGCAAGCGUUGUUCGGAAUUACUGGGCGUAAAGGGCGCGUAGGCGGCCUGCUAAGUCGAACGUGAAAUCCCCGGGCUCAACCCGGGAACUGCGUCCGAUACUGGGGGGCUUGAAUCCGGGUGAGGGAUGUGGAAUUCCAGGUGUAGCGGUGAAAUGCGUAGAUAUCUGGAGGAACACCGGUGGCGAAGGCGGCAUCCUGGACCGGUAUUGACGCUGAGGCGCGAAAGCCAGGGGAGCAAACGGG
RNAcentral lists this ribosomal RNA (253 nucleotides) under uncultured bacterium. Its description in RNAcentral is "partial 16S ribosomal RNA". It matches the Rfam family "Bacterial small subunit ribosomal RNA", at positions 524 to 776 of the family's 1533-position model. The record is from RNAcentral.